GGUCUCUAAAUUGAUUGGUUAGAUCAAACCGGAGUUUAUUCCAUUCUUUCACCCUCCGCUUUCCUCCAUGCCUCCCAAUUCAAAGCAGGUUUCUAAAUUUUGAACCUUCAAUAUUACGUCGGUAAUUGAUUUUUCGCUGAGAUCAAUCAACCGCAAAUCCCAUUUUACGCAAUGUUUUUUGCAGCGAAAAUGCAGAUAUGAACACGAG
Molecule: long non-coding RNA, 208 nt
Organism: Anopheles aquasalis
Lineage: Eukaryota; Metazoa; Arthropoda; Insecta; Diptera; Culicidae
Source: RefSeq, a predicted model, not a curated record